GAUGAACGCUGGCGGCGUGCCUAAUACAUGCAAGUCGAGCGAACGGACGAGAAGCUUGCUUCUCUGAUGUUAGCGGCGGACGGGUGAGUAACACGUGGAUAACCUACCUAUAAGACUGGGAUAACUUCGGGAAACCGGAGCUAAUACCGGAUAAUAUUUUGAACCGCAUGGUUCAAAAGUGAAAGACGGUCCUGCUGUCACUUAUAGAUGGAUCCGCGCUGCAUUAGCUAGUUGGUAAGGUAACGGCUUACCAAGGCAACGAUGCAUAGCCGACCUGAGAGGGUGAUCGGCCACACUGGAACUGAGACACGGUCCAGACUCCUACGGGAGGCAGCAGUAGGGAAUCUGCCGCAAUGGGCGAAAGCCUGACGGAGCAACGCCGCGUGAGUGAUGAAGGUCUUCGGAUCGUAAAACUCUGUUAUUAGGGAAGAACAUAUGUGUAAGUAACUGUGCACAUCUUGACGGUACCUAAUCAGAAAACCACGGCUAACUACGUG
Molecule: ribosomal RNA, 497 nt
Filed under: uncultured bacterium
Lineage: Bacteria
Description: partial 16S ribosomal RNA
Rfam family: Bacterial small subunit ribosomal RNA
Source: RNAcentral